GACAGAGGAUGCAAACGUUGUUCGGAAUCACUGGGCAUAAAGCGCACGUAGGCGGUCUGUUAAGUCAGGUGUGAAAGCCCCCGGCUCAACCGGGGAAUUGCAUUUGAUACUGGCAGGCUAGAGAACGGUAGGGGUGAGUGGAACUCCAGGUGGAGCGGUGAAAUGCGUAGAUAUCUGGAGGAACACCGGUGGCGAAAGCGGCUCACUGGACCGUAACUGACGCUGAGGUGCGAAAGCUAGGGUAGCAAACGGG
RNAcentral lists this ribosomal RNA (253 nucleotides) under uncultured bacterium. Its description in RNAcentral is "partial 16S ribosomal RNA". It matches the Rfam family "Bacterial small subunit ribosomal RNA", at positions 524 to 776 of the family's 1533-position model. The record is from RNAcentral.